UGUGCCUACGGGGCGCAGCAGUGGGGAAUAUUGCACAAUGGGGGAAACCCUGAUGCAGCGACGCCGCGUGAGUGAAGAAGUAUUUCGGUAUGUAAAGCUCUAUCAGCAGGGAAGAAGAAAGACGGUACCUGACUAAGAAGCCCCGGCUAACUACAUGCCAGCAGCCGCGGUAAUACGUAGGGGGCAAGCGUUAUCCGGAUUUACUGGGUGUAAAGGGAGCGCAGGCGGCAUGCCAAGUCUGGUGUGAAAACCCGGGGCCCAACCCCGGGCCUGCAUUGGAAACUGGCGGGCUGGAGUG
Molecule: ribosomal RNA, 298 nt
Filed under: uncultured bacterium
Lineage: Bacteria
Description: partial 16S ribosomal RNA
Rfam family: Bacterial small subunit ribosomal RNA
Source: RNAcentral